Molecule: long non-coding RNA, 794 nt
Organism: Salvia miltiorrhiza (redroot sage)
Lineage: Eukaryota; Viridiplantae; Streptophyta; Magnoliopsida; Lamiales; Lamiaceae
Exons: 2
Source: RefSeq, a predicted model, not a curated record
CUUUUAUUAAGUUGGGCCUUUGAUUAUUUUAAAUCAUGGGCUGCCCAAGUAUUUAUUUAAUUGGAUUUGUGCAGAUUUUAUUUAAAGGAGCUACACUAUUAUAAUUAAUUAGACUUAUUAAGUUUAAUUAAUUAUUUUCAAAGAGUAAAUUUUUAUAAUAAUAUUAAAUUAUUAUUAUAAGCAUAUUUUAAGUAAUUUCUUAUUAUAUGCCAAGCAUGACAUGAAUUUGCAUGACAUGAAUUUGCAUUAUAUUUUUGCAAUAAAAGUAUUUAAGAUUUAAUUGGUUUUAUUUAUAAUUCCAAUUAUUAAAAGAUGAGUAAGAAUAUUGUUGGUGUUCUUAACUCAAGAGAAAAUGUUUUCAAUUAUUUAUUCAUUAAAUUUUGAAAACCCGGCUAAGUGAAUCAUAGAAUAUUAAGCACUACACCAUGACUUAAGAUUAGAUUCAAGGAGACCUAUUAAGAAUAGAUUUCUUGUAGGCUUUGAGCAUCAGGAGGAUUAGCACUGCUAUUCCGAUUCAGAGAUAAGGUUAAACGACAGGCUUUGCCUAUACAGGUUGGCUGGCUGGUGCUGACGGGACGGAGCUGAGGCUAGCGAUAAAUUCCUAUGUUAGACUUCCGCUGUAGCAAUUACUCAUAUCAGUCUUUUGUUUUCCCAACUUAAGUUCUUCAUGUUAAAUUUCAAAUGAUAUACCUGACCGAGCUUAGACUCUUCACUACUAAAUUUAUGCCAAUGAAUGUCGGUUGUCAGAAGCAUGAAACAAAACUUGUGAUCCAAAGGGGCAUAGCCCGACUUUC